This 616-nucleotide long non-coding RNA is filed under the name Brassica napus (rape). RNAcentral's name for it is "long non-coding RNA (BNAP_LNC024040)". Lineage: Eukaryota; Viridiplantae; Streptophyta; Magnoliopsida; Brassicales; Brassicaceae. The record is from RNAcentral.
GGGUGAGAGAGUAAAAAUGUCAUUUUCGGAAAAAAAAAAUAAAAAAAAUUUGAUGGCAUUUUCGUGAAUAUCAUGAACUUGUGGGGUGAAUAGGACAAAAGAAAAAUUCAAAAAAAUCAUGGGUUAGUUUUAGAUUUUACUUUGAGUUUUGAAUUAAUCUUGCAAAAAACCUUUUUAUUAUUAGAUAAAAUAACAUUCAAAUAUUAUAAGAGUUUUAGCACAAUAAAUAUUUUUUUGUUAUGAUUAGCAUAAAUGUAAAUGCCUUAGAUAUAUGUGCUCAAGGGAUCUUCAUCAUAAACAAUUAAUAUGUCUUUUCCCUGAUAGAACAAAAACUAAUGUAGUAUAAUGACUUUUACAUAUAUUGGUAAUAAUAAAUAAACGUAAAAUUCUUUUCAAGCAACAAAACUAGAAAAAUUGGGUUUUGGUUUUUGUUUACAAAUGGGAAAUUAAAAAAAAAAAUACUUUUUCCCAGGUUUUAGGAAAAUCAUAUCUCAAAAAGCUUGAUUGGAUAAAAAAUUGGACGAAAAAAGGUUUCUGGAAACAAAAGCCAAAAACUAUUCUAAAAUAACAAUCUCGAAAUAUAGAGUAAAAGAUGGGAAAAUGGGCUAAUAAAUCC